CGGAGUCCAAGCCUCCUGCCUCUAACCUGCCCUACCUCGGACCUUCCUUAGUCACUGCCAGCCAGCUACACGGCGCCAAUCACAGCCUCCGGCUUCUGCAGGCAGGCCAGUUGCAGAGCACUGGGAGUUCUGGCCGGUUCUUCAGCCUAGAAGGCCUACCGGGAAUCUGCAGUGUCAGUGUCCUGAGCUUCUGCGUGGGGAUUCCCAGCCUUGUUCCCAGCUACCUCCUAGGUGUGGGGCUGCCUUAUGCGUCACGCACAUGGACCAUGCGUCUGGCUUCAAGGAUCUCCAAGGAAUCAAAACACCAAGAUUCCUGCUGACCUUCUCCUACAAAAUUAAAGCUGGGGGCAGAGGCUGAA
This is a long non-coding RNA of Suricata suricatta (meerkat), 359 nucleotides long. RefSeq lists it as uncharacterized. The transcript is spliced from 3 exons. The record is from RefSeq and is a predicted model, not a curated record. Lineage: Eukaryota; Metazoa; Chordata; Mammalia; Carnivora; Herpestidae.